GUCCAAACCAGAACACAAGAAGACAUUCUCUAAUUCUCUGUGAGUUUUUGUUUUUGGCCAUGUCGACUUCGAUUCUUCUUGGAUCAUCAUCAACUUCUUCUCUAAACCCAAGGAAACAAAUACAACUUUUCUCAAGUCUGAUGAUAUGAUAGAAAGCUAACAUAAGCUUCUUGUCAAUAGGGGUGGUCAUGCUCCAGCAAUGAUUUGGAUUUGAGAAUGCUGAUGAUCGAGUAUCCUUCCCAUUUUAUUCAGCUCUGGGCCCAUUCGAACUGGAUCACGACUAUUGCUCACCAUUGCUGCUCACCAUUGCCGCUCACCAUUGCUGCUCACUCUUGUGUGGUGAAGGUGUUUGGCGAAAUGGGGUUUGGUGAAAUGGGGUUUGGCGAAAUGAUGUUUGGUGAAAGGGUGUGUGGUGGAUGGUGCUGAACGAAUUUUCUUAACAUAAUCUCUGAAUUUGGAACAGAUUAUUGAUCUGCACAUUACAUGAGCGUUGAAGGAAGUUUUAUAUUUCUAGAGCACCUAAAUCAGAUGGUUGUUAUUUUUACAAUAUACCAGAAUGAUAGCAAUUUGGAUUAAUUUGAGAGCUGCUUGUAUUACCCGGGAUAAAAUUAAUGUAUUGGCUGCUGGGAGUUCUGUUGCUGGGAGCUGCUCUAAACGUCCAUGAAGGUCCUCAAAUCAAAUGAUUUGUUUUGGAUUUAGAGGUAUCUUUAGUUCAAAAGGACAUGGAACCUGACUACUAGUAAAUUAGCGAGUAGUGCACAAUCUCAUCAACACCACUAUCAAACAGCAACUAAAUCAUACUUCUCUCCUUCCGUCAAACAAAUCCUCCUUCCUGGAUCCCACAUUCCUACUCACUCACUUCUUCAGCUUAUUAAUUAACAAACAGACAAGAUGUGAAGAACAAACAAACGCCUGCAGGCAGCUUCAUCAAUUAUUUCUUCUUGUUUUUCACUUCUCAAACUAACUGUUUCAUCAUCAACACCAGCUAAUAGAGAGAAACAUCACCUAAUUGUUUCAUUGUCAAAUAUUUGAGUGUGGGAUUUGAUUUAUUUCACUCCAUGAGAUUUCAUUCUAUCUUGAAUACAUAAGCUAGAGAGACCGAGUUAGAGAGAGGAAGAAACAGAAACAUGGAGAUGGUGGUUGGGCAAGCCCAAAGCAAGAAGAGGAAGAAGUAUAACGAAGAUCUGGUGAUGGCCAUGGAAAACCAACUCAAUCAAGAUUCGUUAGAGAAAGUACUUCCAUGGCUACGCACAUCAACUUUCUACCGUUGACGUUCAGUGUGCAAGAGAUGGAAUUCAGUUGCAGAAUAUGCAUCUUUCAGGCUUGCUUGUCAACAAGUUCUCUUUACGGAUCCUUGGUUUUUCAUGGUUGAUUCUCACCUUGAUCUUGUAUCCGAUACUUGACAAAAUAAUUGGAAACAUCUUAACAAUAAGCGCCGAAGGCAUCAUCGAGUACUCCGACAACAAUCAAAAACUUACUCAUAGCUGCAGAAGCAGCAAUGAUUUAAUACCUGUGGCUCAUCACCGUGAGUGGUUUCCGGUUUACAGCUUCUGGCCAUUUCUAGUCCAACCCGGUCAGUGGUGCCUCCUGAGAGCUUCCUGCAUUGCCUUCAAUGUUGCAGCAUCAAAACAUUCAUGCAAUUGCUAUGCAUUCAUCUUCAGAACCCUCUUCCAGACAAAUACUUGUCUCUGGUGAGCUACCAGACCUCUCAGUCAGAGUGUAGGAAUCAGGGAAAGACUACUGGGAAUAAGUUAAAGAGUCAGAAAGCAACAGAGGGAGGAGUGUCAGUGUUACUCAGUUGAGCAGAGAAGAGUAGUGCAAUCUCAUCUAAUCACCAAACAGCAGCAACUUCAUAUUUCUCUCUCAUUCUCACUCUCCAUCGUCAAAUUAAGCCUCCUUGGAUUAUUAAUUUACAAACAAGCACCUGCAGGCAGCAGCAACACUUUCCUCAAUUGUAUCUUCUUGUUUUUCACCUCUCAAACUCAGGACUUGGGUAACGAGCAUGUAUGUCGAGAUUUCUUAUGUUAUUGUGUUAUGAUAGGUGUGACGACGAGGGAUUAGAGACUGCCUUAGCUACCUAGUAAUGUGGACGGCUUUCUUCUUCUUGUUUAAUUAA
Papaver somniferum (opium poppy) is the source of this 2116-nucleotide long non-coding RNA. RefSeq lists it as uncharacterized. The transcript is spliced from 7 exons. NCBI's taxonomy places the organism in Eukaryota, Viridiplantae, Streptophyta, Magnoliopsida, Ranunculales, Papaveraceae. The record is from RefSeq and is a predicted model, not a curated record.